UGCAAGUCGAACGGCAGCGCGGACUUCGGUCUGGCGGCGAGUGGCGAACGGGUGAGUAAUGUAUCGGAACGUGCCCAGUAGCGGGGGAUAACUACUCGAAAGAGUAGCUAAUACCGCAUACGCCCUACGGGGGAAAGGGGGGGAUCGCAAGACCUCUCACUAUUGGAGCGGCCGAUAUCGGAUUAGCUAGUUGGUGGGGUAAAGGCUCACCAAGGCGACGAUCCGUAGCUGGUUUGAGAGGACGACCAGCCACACUGGGACUGAGACACGGCCCAGACUCCUACGGGAGGCAGCAGUGGGGAAUUUUGGACAAUGGGGGAAACCCUGAUCCAGCCAUUCCGCGUGUGCGAUGAAGGCCUUCGGGUUGUAAAGCACUUUUGGCAGGAAAGAAAUCGCAUGGAUUAAUACUCUGUGUGGAGGACGGUACCUGCAGAAUAAGCACCGGCUAACUACGUGCCAGCAGCCGCGGUAAUACGUAGGGUGCAAGCGUUAAUCGGAAUUACUGGGCGUAAAGCGUGCGCAGGCGGUUCGGAAAGAAAGGUGUGAAAUCCCAGGGCUUAACCUUGGAACUGCACUUUUAACUACCGAGCUAGAGUAUGUCAGAGGGGGGUGGAAUUCCGCGUGUAGCAGUGAAAUGCGUAGAUAUGCGGAGGAACACCGAUGGCGAAGGCAGCCCCCUGGGAUAAUACUGACGCUCAUG
Molecule: ribosomal RNA, 700 nt
Filed under: uncultured bacterium
Lineage: Bacteria
Description: bacterial SSU rRNA
Rfam family: Bacterial small subunit ribosomal RNA
Source: RNAcentral